GUGAGCUAGGCCAAGCUUACUCAAAGUGGCAAACAUGAAGUCACAAUCCACAAUAUCGAAAGCCUUCUCGUUAUCCAUGUAAAGUAGAAGGACUAGGACUACCUUUUUUCACCCAGUGCAUCAGGUUCAGGACUCUGAUGCUGUGGUCCCUGACUUUCCUUCCUGAGAUAAAUCCAGUCUGAUCUGGGUGUAUCAGAAUUUGUAAGGAUGGUGAAUUAUGUU
Molecule: non-coding RNA, 222 nt
Organism: Pelobates cultripes (western spadefoot toad)
Lineage: Eukaryota; Metazoa; Chordata; Amphibia; Anura; Pelobatidae
Source: the annotation of a GenBank genome assembly